Molecule: small nuclear RNA, 106 nt
Organism: Prolemur simus (greater bamboo lemur)
Lineage: Eukaryota; Metazoa; Chordata; Mammalia; Primates; Lemuridae
Source: Ensembl
GUGUUUGCUUCAGUAGCAUAUUUACUAAAAUGUGAAUGAUACAGAUAAGUUAGCAUGGCCCCUGUGAAAGGAUGACAUAAAAAUUAGUAAAGCAUUCUAAUAAAAA